ACGGGAGGCAGCAGUGGGGAAUAUUGCACAAUGGGGGAAACCCUGAUGCAGCGACGCCGCGUGAGCGAAGAAGUAUUUCGGUAUGUAAAGCUCUAUCAGCAGGGAAGAAAAUGACGGUACCUGACUAAGAAGCUCCGGCUAAAUACGUGCCAGCAGCCGCGGUAAUACGUAUGGAGCAAGCGUUAUCCGGAUUUACUGGGUGUAAAGGGAGCGUAGGCGGCACGGCAAGCCAGAAGUGAAAUGCCGGGGCUCAACCCCGGAACUGCUUUUGGAACUGUCGAGCUAGAUUGCAGGAGAGGUAAGUGGAAUUCCUAGUGUAGCGGUGAAAUGCGUAGAUAUUAGGAGGAACACCAGUGGCGAAGGCGGCUUACUGGACUGUAAAUGACGCUGAGGCUCGAAAGCGUGGGGAGCAAACAGGAUUAGAUACCCUGGUA
Molecule: ribosomal RNA, 434 nt
Filed under: uncultured Lachnospiraceae bacterium
Lineage: Bacteria; Bacillati; Bacillota; Clostridia; Lachnospirales; Lachnospiraceae
Description: bacterial SSU rRNA
Rfam family: Bacterial small subunit ribosomal RNA
Source: RNAcentral